Potamilus streckersoni is the source of this 73-nucleotide non-coding RNA. The record is from the annotation of a GenBank genome assembly. Lineage: Eukaryota; Metazoa; Mollusca; Bivalvia; Unionida; Unionidae.
GCUCCGGUGGCCUAGUGGUUAGAGCGUCCGCCAAGGAUGCGGGAGGUCGUGGGUUCGGUUCCCGGUCGAGUCA